GGUUAAGUUAACAAGGGCGCAUGGUGAAUGCCUUGGCACUAGGAGCCGAUGAAGGACGGGACUAACACCGAUAUGCUUCGGGGAGCUGUACGUAAGCUAUGAUCCGGAGAUUUCCGAAUGGGGCAACCCAGCAGUUUUAAUCAACUGUUACCACUAGAUGAAUUCAUAGUCUAGUUGGAGGUAAACGCUGUGAACUGAAACAUCUCAUUAGCAGCAGGAAUAUAAAGAAAUUUCGAUUCCCUAAGUAGCGGCGAGCGAACGGGGAACAGCCCAAACCAAAGUGCUUGCACUUUGGGGUUGUAGGACUGAACAUUUGAGUUACCAAAGAAUUUGAUAGUCGAAGGAUUUGGGAAAAUCCGCCAUAGAUGGUGAUAGCCCAGUAGAUUAAAUCAAGUUCUCUCAGUUCAGGAUCCUGAGUACGGCGGAACACGUGAAAUUCCGUCGGAAUCCGGGAGGACCAUCUCCCAAGGCUAAAUACUACCUAGUGACCGAUAGUGAACCAGUACCGUGAGGGAAAGGUGAAAAGCACCCCGGAAGGGGAGUGAAAUAGUUCCUGAAACCAUGUGCCUACAAUAAGUCAGAGCGCGUUAAUGCGUGAUGGCGUGCCUUUUGUAGAAUGAACCGGCGAGUUAUGAUCCCGUGCAAGGUUAAGACUAAAAAGUCGGAGCCGUAGCGAAAGCGAGUCUGAAAUGGGCGUUUUGAGUACGAGGUUAUAGACCCGAAACCAGGUGACCUAUCCAUGUCCAGGUUGAAGGUGCGGUAAAACGCACUGGAGGACCGAACCCGUGUAAGUUGAAAAUUGCUGGGAUGAGGUGUGGAUAGCGGUGAAAUUCCAAACGAACUUGGAGAUAGCUGGUUCUCUCCGAAAUAGCUUUAGGGCUAGCCUCGGAAUUAGGAUCAUGGAGGUAGAGCACUAUUUGGACUAGGGGCCCGUCUUGGGUUACUGAAUUCAGAUAAACUCCGAAUGCCAUUGAUUCAUAUCCGGGAGUCAGACGAUGAGUGAUAAGAUCCACCGUCGAAAGGGGAACAGCCCAGACCAUCAGUUAAGGUCCCUAAAUGUAUGCUAAGUGGAAAAGGAUGUGGAGUUGCAUAGACAACUAGGAUGUUGGCUCAGAAGCAGCCACCAUUUAAAGAGUGCGUAAUAGCUCACUAGUCGAGUGAUCCUGCGCCGAAAAUGUACCGGGGCUAAGCAUACUACCGAAACCAUGGAUGCGACCAUUAGGUCGCGUGAUAGGAGAGCGUUCUAAGGGCGGUGAAGCAAGAUCGUGAGGACUUGUGGAGCGCUUAGAAGUGAGAAUGCCGGUAUGAGUAGCGAAAGAUAGGUGAGAAUCCUAUCCACCGAAUGACUAAGGUUUCCUGGGGAAGGCUCGUCCUCCCAGGGUUAGUCGGGACCUAAGUCGAGGCCGAGAGGCGUAGACGAUGGAUAACAGGUUGAGAUUCCUGUACUAGUUAAGUGCGUUUGAGCAAUGGAGGGACGCAGGAGGCUAAGAUGUGCAUUCUGUUGGAUUAGAAUGUCCAAGCAGUAAGUCUUGUGAAGAGUCAAAUGCUUUUCACUUUAAGGACAAGCUGUGAUGGGGAGCGAAAUUUAGUAGCGAAGCGUCUGAUGUCACACUGCCGAGAAAAGCUUCUAGUGAGUACUUAACUACCCGUACCGCAAACCGACACAGGUAGUCGAGGAGAGAAUCCUAAGGUGAGCGAGUGAACUCUCGUUAAGGAACUCGGCAAAAUGACCCCGUAACUUCGGGAGAAGGGGUGCUGAUCGCAAGAUCAGCCGCAGUGAAUAGGCCCAGGCGACUGUUUAUCAAAAACACAGGUCUCUGCAAAAUCGUAAGAUGACGUAUAGGGGCUGACGCCUGCCCGGUGCUGGAAGGUUAAAAGGAUGGGUUAGCUUCGGCGAAGCUCAGAAUUGAAGCCCCAGUAAACGGCGGCCGUAACUAUAACGGUCCUAAGGUAGCGAAAUUCCUUGUCGGGUAAGUUCCGACCCGCACGAAAGGCGUAACGAUCUGGGCACUGUCUCAACGAGAGACUCGGUGAAAUUAUAUUGUCCGUGAAGAUGCGGACUACCCGCGACAGGACGGAAAGACCCCAUGGAGCUUUACUGUAGCUUGAUAUUGAGUGUUUGUACAGCUUGUACAGGAUAGGUAGGAGCCAUAGAAACCGGAACGCUAGUUUCGGUGGAGGCGUUGGUGGGAUACUACCCUCGCUGUAUGACCACUCUAACCCGCACCACUAAUCGUGGUGGGAGACAGUGUCAGGUGGGCAGUUUGACUGGGGCGGUCGCCUCCUAAAAAGUAACGGAGGCGCCCAAAGGUUCCCUCAGAAUGGUUGGAAAUCAUUCGCAGAGUGUAAAGGCACAAGGGAGCUUGACUGCGAGACAGACAGGUCGAGCAGGGACGAAAGUCGGGCUUAGUGAUCCGGUGGUACCGUAUGGAAGGGCCAUCGCUCAACGGAUAAAAGCUACCCUGGGGAUAACAGGCUUAUCUCCCCCAAGAGUCCACAUCGACGGGGAGGUUUGGCACCUCGAUGUCGGCUCAUCGCAUCCUGGGGCUGUAGUCGGUCCCAAGGGUUGGGCUGUUCGCCCAUUAAAGCGGUACGCGAGCUGGGUUCAGAACGUCGUGAGACAGUUCGGUCCCUAUCCGUCGCGGGCGUAGGAAAUUUGAGAGGACCUGUCCUUAGUACGAGAGGACCGGGAUGGACAUACCUCUGGUGUACCAGUUGUGCCGCCAGGCGCAUCGCUGGGUAGCUACGUAUGGAUGUGAUAAACGCUGAAAGCAUCUAAGUGUGAAACACACCUCGAGAUGAGAUUUCCCAUUCCUUUAUGGAAGUAAGACCCCUGAAAGAUGAUCAGGUAGAUAGGUUAGAAGUGGCAGUGCGGUGACGCAUGAAGCGGACUAAUACUAAUCGGUCGAGGACUUAACCAA
Molecule: ribosomal RNA, 2921 nt
Filed under: Lactiplantibacillus sp. DA1
Lineage: Bacteria; Bacillati; Bacillota; Bacilli; Lactobacillales; Lactobacillaceae
Description: 23S ribosomal RNA
Rfam family: Bacterial large subunit ribosomal RNA
Source: RNAcentral